RNAcentral lists this unclassified non-coding RNA (353 nucleotides) under soil metagenome. RNAcentral describes it as "partial contains 5.8S ribosomal RNA, internal transcribed spacer 2, and large subunit ribosomal RNA". The stretch from base 1 to 120 matches the Rfam family "5.8S ribosomal RNA", at positions 35 to 154 of the family's 154-position model. The record is from RNAcentral.
GAUGAAGAACGUAGCGAAAUGCGAUAAGUAGUGUGAAUUGCAGAAUUCAGUGAAUCAUCGAAUCUUCGAACGCACAUUGCGCCUCCUGGUAUUCCGGGAGGCAUGCCUGUUCGAGCGUCAUUAAAAUCACUCAAGCUUAGGUUUGCCUAUUGCUUGGUCUUGAAGAUAGAAGCUAAGUAAUUAGAAUCCUCUUCGAAAUCCAAUGGCGAAGACCCUUGCUCUCCCAAGUGUAGUAAUAACUUAUUCACUGAAGGAAGCGAGUAAUCUUCCGCCGUAACCCCCAUAUUUUCUAUGAUUGACCUCGGAUCAGGUAGGGAUACCCGCUGAACUUAAGCAUAUCAAUAAGCGGAGGA